UAGCAUAUCAAUAAGCGGAGGAAAAGAAACUUAACAAGGAUUUCCCUAGUAACUGCGAGUGAAGCGGGAAAAGCUCAAAUUUAAAAUCUGGCGGUCUCCGGCCGUCCGAGUUGUAAUUUAGAGAAGCGUUAUCCGUGCUGGACCGUGUAUAAGUCUCCUGGAAUGGAGCGUCAUAGAGGGUGAGAAUCCCGUCUUUGACACGGACUACCAGUGCAUUGUGAUGCGCUCUCGACGAGUCGAGUUGUUUGGGAAUGCAGCUCAAAAUGGGUGGUAAAUGCCAUCUAAAGCUAAAUAUUGGCGAGAGACCGAUAGCGAACAAGUACCGUGAGGGAAAGAUGAAAAGAACUUUGGAAAGAGAGUUAAACAGUACGUGAAAUUGUCGAAAGGGAAACGGUUGCAGUCAGUCGCGUCCGCCGGGGAUCAACCUUGCUUUUGCUUGGCGUAUUUCCCGGUGGAUGGGUCAGCAUCAGUUUUGACCGCAGUUGAAAGGCUGGAGGAAUGUGGCACCUUCGGGUGUGUUAUAGCCUCCUGUCAUAUGCUGCGGUUGGGACCGAGGAACUCAGCACGCCGCAAGGCCGGGAUUCGUCCACGUUCGUGCUUAGGAUGCUGGCAUAAUGUCUGUAACCGACCCGUCUUGAAACACGGACCAAGGAGUCUAACAUGCACGCGAGUGUUUGGGUGGCAAACCCGAGCGCGUAAUGAAAGUGAAAGUUGAGACCUCUGUCGUGGAGGGCAUCGACGCCCGGACCAGAACUUUUGGGGCGGAUCCGCGGUAGAGCGUGUAUGUUGGGACCCGAAAGAUGGUGAACUAUGCCUGAAUAGGGCGAAGCCAGAGGAAACUCUGGUGGAGGCUCGUAGCGAUUCUGACGUGCAAAUCGAUCGUCGAAUUGG
Molecule: ribosomal RNA, 891 nt
Filed under: Schizophyllum commune
Lineage: Eukaryota; Fungi; Basidiomycota; Agaricomycetes; Agaricales; Schizophyllaceae
Description: partial large subunit ribosomal RNA
Rfam family: Eukaryotic large subunit ribosomal RNA
Source: RNAcentral